AGGUUACGCUUCACAGAUAGA
RNAcentral lists this small nuclear RNA (21 nucleotides) under Arabidopsis thaliana (thale cress). Its description in RNAcentral is "snRNA_07788". Lineage: Eukaryota; Viridiplantae; Streptophyta; Magnoliopsida; Brassicales; Brassicaceae. The record is from RNAcentral.